RNAcentral lists this transfer RNA (86 nucleotides) under bacterium. RNAcentral describes it as "tRNA-Leu". It matches the Rfam family "tRNA". Rfam says of the family: Transfer RNA (tRNA) molecules are approximately 80 nucleotides in length. The record is from RNAcentral.
GCCGGAGUGGCGAAAUGGCAGACGCAGCAGCCUCAAAAGCUGCCGAGGGCAACCUCAUGGGGGUUCAACUCCCUUCUCCGGCACCA